This is a long non-coding RNA of Lingula anatina, 232 nucleotides long. The record is from RefSeq and is a predicted model, not a curated record. NCBI's taxonomy places the organism in Eukaryota, Metazoa, Brachiopoda, Lingulata, Lingulida, Lingulidae.
GCAAAACUAUGGUUUGAUGCAGCCGUAUGAUAAACAGGGCUGUUGGUGAUCAACUUUUGCGAUCGUACAUUUCCAGCAACAAAGACUAUUGAACAAAAAAAGGGAAGUAUUGAGACAAAAUGAAAUUCAUUGCGGUCUUUACGCUUGCUUCUGCACUUCAUCUGACCACGGCUGCUCCGGACAAUCGAGGCACCGAAUUUUUACUAAUGUUCGGAGAAAACCUAAUUAUCAG